CAGAGCGCAACGCAGACUGUGUAGCGCGGCUCGGAGGCGCCGUGGACCCUCCAGAAGGCGCUCGUGGGACUUAGAAGCCUCUCCCGGGGCUCUCCGGGGAGAAGGCUAACCCUGGGCCCGCACGCGGCCGCGGGAUGGGCGGGGGUUGCAGGAGGGCGCUGUGCCCCGGCCUCCCCAUCGGCCGUGCACAGGCUUCUGUGUGCAGGCGCCGCACGAGGUCAUCCGCUUAAACUGAAUUAUAUUUUCUUUUUCCACCCAGAAAAUGAAAUACACAGCCCCCCAGCGACUGGACGAAAGCACGCAGUAACUCUUUUCUCCUGAGGAGAGUUUUUAAAAGUGACUUCAACUUGGGUGACCCAGAUCAUUUGACUGGAAGACUGGUCUGCGUGCACUGGAUGAGAAUCUGGCCCCAUUGCGUGCACCCGGACCUGUUGGGUUUGCCUCUUGAUUUCUUUUUUUGGGGUGUUCACUGGUUGAGGACUGCUUCCUGCCGUGGCUGUAAAUAAAUGGAGCUCGACCUCA
This is a long non-coding RNA of Grammomys surdaster, 522 nucleotides long. RefSeq lists it as uncharacterized. The transcript has 2 exons. Lineage: Eukaryota; Metazoa; Chordata; Mammalia; Rodentia; Muridae. The record is from RefSeq and is a predicted model, not a curated record.